Molecule: non-coding RNA, 1057 nt
Organism: Podarcis muralis (Common wall lizard)
Lineage: Eukaryota; Metazoa; Chordata; Lepidosauria; Squamata; Lacertidae
Source: RefSeq, a predicted model, not a curated record
UGAUCCCUUAUUUUCGAGGCUGCUGGUCCCUUAUUUUCAAAUCUGGUUGUCCCUUCAGUCACAAGCACCAUCUAGUCUCCUCCUGUGCUUCCUAGGGAAUCCUGCCAGCCCACUGCAAGAGAAGAAGGGGUCUGGCCUAGGCCAUCACCUGGCAGAUGUUUGCAUUUCUGGACUCAAGGUGACUUCUACAAGGCGCAACACUGAGACGGAGGAAGGAGGAAGCUGACAGGUUGUGGCACCCCCUAGACUGCUUGUAAAUAAGAAGGCAGGUAAGUGGAGGCUGGUGGGGCAGUGGCACGGUAGCAGGGUGGCCCAUGGCUCCUUUGUGCACUUCAAACUCUCUGAUGCCUCACGCCAAGCCUAAGGCCCAAACACAACUCUCGCUUUUUUGCAGGCCAUGAGUGAAACAUGCCACCCUGCUUCCCCGCAGCCCGCAGCCCCUUCCAUGGCCCCUGCUCAGGCAUCUCGGGGUGUUAGCGGCAAGCUGACAGGAAUCUGUUUCCUCAGCGCUUGGGCCUCCCCGGCCUGGUCCCAGCAGUCGCGUGAAGCCUUCAUGAGGCCCAGGAGGCAAGGUGUGUUUGAGUGGUUGCCUGGGCAACAGCCAAACACUCCCUGCAUAGCAUAAAUGGUGGGAUAACUUUGCGCUGAGAGCAGGGGGGAGUGAUGGUCGACAGUUGCCCAUCGAGCCUCAGAGUCCUGGGUUUAAAGCAUCUUUUAUCCCUUCAAUCUAUCUGGGGGCCAGCAUUUAAACUAUGCCUGAAACCUUGGGCCUUCAGCUGCUGCCAGUCAGUGUAGAGACUACUGAGCUGUUGUGGCAGCAGAAAAAGAGGGGAAAUGCUGUAAGGUCCUAGGCUGUUGGGCAUGUGUGUUGCGGACACACUAAAGUCUGGUGCUGGCCCUGCAUUGUGGCUGCGGAAACUGUUUCAGAAUGCAAGGUUUUGUAAAUACAGGCUGCCUUCAAACAUUCAGUCAAGGAGGGGGCCAAGCUGUACAGUGGUACCUCGGGUUAAGAACUUAAUUUGUUCCGGAGGUCUGUUCUUAACCUGAAACUGUUCUU